This is a long non-coding RNA of Panthera uncia (snow leopard), 754 nucleotides long. RefSeq lists it as uncharacterized. The transcript has 2 exons. The record is from RefSeq and is a predicted model, not a curated record. NCBI's taxonomy places the organism in Eukaryota, Metazoa, Chordata, Mammalia, Carnivora, Felidae.
UUUUGCCUACUACAGAGGGAGGGAGGCAGGCAAAAAAGUGGGAAGCCACAGGGACUGGGGAGUGGGUGUGCAGGGCUGUAUGUGUAAGUGGGGCAGCGGUGCCUGGGAGGAGGUAGCCAGCCCUUUUGUGCAUGUCCUGGUCAGCAUCAAAGAUGACUUAAUGAUGACAGCAACAACCCACGAGGUGGGUGUCAUUAUCCCAUUUGACGAAUGAGGGAACUGAGGCUCAGAGAGGUUAGGUAUCCUGCCCAGGGCCACACAAGUCAGUGGGAGAGCUGGGAUGUGGGCCCAGGUCUGUGUGACUUUAAGCCCAUGCCUUUCAUUGCCACAUUCCACCAUCUCCCCCCUAGGACUGCCAAUAAAGGGCCCUGGAGGCCAUAGGGUGGAGGAGAAGGGUGCCAUUUGCAUGUCAGAAGACUCACAUUGAAGGCUGCCUCUCUCACUGCCUUCCUGAUGAAGAACUGAAGUGAUCUGGACCAGGGAACUCUGGGUACCCCGUACCCUCUUUUUCCAUCCUGCUGCCCUCACUGCUUUUCCCAGCGUGCACCCCCACUGCUUUCCCUACUAUGGUCCCUCACCCCCGCAAAAGUUGGGGGAGGAUAAAGAGCACAUCCUUGGGAAGAACCUUCGGCGCAGCCAGACUUCCCCCGACUGGAUGCCUUUAACUAAGUCUGUGGGCAGGAGAGACUUUUUAUCCCUUGCAAGUUAAUGCAAACUGUUAGGGAGAUAAAUAAAUGACAGGGCUGCCGAUGGA